GUUAAGCGACUAAGCGUACACGGUGGAUGCCCUGGCAGUCAGAGGCGAUGAAGGACGUGCUAAUCUGCGAUAAGCGUCGGUAAGGUGAUAUGAACCGUUAUAACCGGCGAUUUCCGAAUGGGGAAACCCAGUGUGUUUCGACACACUAUCAUUAACUGAAUCCAUAGGUUAAUGAGGCGAACCGGGGGAACUGAAACAUCUAAGUACCCCGAGGAAAAGAAAUCAACCGAGAUUCCCCCAGUAGCGGCGAGCGAACGGGGAGGAGCCCAGAGCCUGAAUCAGUGUGUGUGUUAGUGGAAGCGUCUGGAAAGGCGCGCGAUACAGGGUGACAGCCCCGUACACAAAAAUGCACAUAUUGUGAGCUCGAUGAGUAGGGCGGGACACGUGGUAUCCUGUCUGAAUAUGGGGGGACCAUCCUCCAAGGCUAAAUACUCCUGACUGACCGAUAGUGAACCAGUACCGUGAGGGAAAGGCGAAAAGAACCCCGGCGAGGGGAGUGAAAAAGAACCUGAAACCGUGUACGUACAAGCAGUGGGAGCCUCUUUUAUGGGGUGACUGCGUACCUUUUGUA
This 571-nucleotide ribosomal RNA is filed under the name Escherichia coli. Its description in RNAcentral is "partial 23S ribosomal RNA". It matches the Rfam family "Bacterial large subunit ribosomal RNA", at positions 1 to 612 of the family's 2925-position model. The record is from RNAcentral. Lineage: Bacteria; Pseudomonadati; Pseudomonadota; Gammaproteobacteria; Enterobacterales; Enterobacteriaceae.